Molecule: non-coding RNA, 4578 nt
Organism: Vicugna pacos (alpaca)
Lineage: Eukaryota; Metazoa; Chordata; Mammalia; Artiodactyla; Camelidae
Source: RefSeq, a predicted model, not a curated record
AAACAGAAAGCGGCUCUCUUCCCUUGAAUUCUCCCAGACCUAAUCUUUGAGAACCUACUACAGUCUGAGAAAAUGGAGGCAGAAGUCUCAGGACCUUGCUAGAACCCCCAGCAAGUCAGCGGCAGAUCCAAGAUCACCCAGGACACCUGGAAAUCUGGCCAGCGCGCAACAGAAAGCACAAGACCUCCCUUAGGCUGAAAAGCUGUGAACAAUAUGGAUCCUAGAGCUGGCCGGGGCCCCAACACCCAGCUGUCUGAGCUCCUCUGGUACCAGACCUUGCAGGGAGGCCACGCACUGGGUAGGUGAGUGAUCUGGAGGGAGGACUCCAGGUGAGCCCAGCAUCAAUCUCCUCACACCGUGACCCCGUGGCUGGAGGGAGAGCCUUCCGCUUGGGCACGUCCACGCUUCCCCUCUUGGGACAGAGACUGUCACAGCACUUGGUCACCAGUUCUCUGGUUUCCCAACAUCCCUCCUCUCCUCUGGGCCCAUCAUGGAACCGCUUUCACUGAUGGGACCCAAACAUCCAGUUCUGGGUCCCUGUCCUCUAGCAGCUAAGGGGUAAGUGUGUGUGGCUAUGUCCAUGUUGACACUGGGCUCUCUGCUCAUAGGGAAGCAGCCAUUUCCCCUGACCCUGCAGCGAUCACACCCAGUCCUCCUGGACCCAGGGAUGUUCCGCCUUCUGCAGUGGCAUUUAGCCUCAGGACCCCUGCCCAGCAGCCAGCAUCUGUGCCGGGGCUGGAGGAGGACCAGCUUCUGCCCCCAACUCAGUGCUAAGCAGAACUGUGGACAUUAAGUAGAAGCAUCUGGGCCUGGAUGGGGCUCAGUGAGAGGUCCAAGUUACUUUGGAGAAAGCAGUUGGGUCAGGUGUGGGUCCUUGAAUGCCGACCUCAUCCUUAACCUCAGUGUUUAAGGCAACUCCCCAUUCUGCUUCCCAUCCACACCCCCCCAGCCUCCUGCCCUGCUGAUAAGGCCCUGCUCUAGGCAGCUCUGGGCUGCUGUCCCAGGCAUGGGUGGGGACAGGGAAUGGGCCGGAGGGCUCUGAGGCCCUGGGAACAUUCUGGGCUGCACACCCGUAAGAGGAGCUGAUGCGCCCAGUCAGCCCCCCAGGGCAAGGAGCCACCCCUGCUGUGCCUCUGUCCUUUGGGCAGCCAUACCCUCCCGGCAGGCUGCGCGGGGCUCUGUCUCCCCCAGGCAGGGUGAGGCCGAGCCUCCCUGUAGAGGCUGCUGUACUUGCUGCAGAGAUUCAGGGACAUACCUAGUGGCCUGCCCCGCCCUUGUCAUCAUCACGAGGGGGACGUUAAACUCUGUGACCUGCAGAAGUGUCUCCUUCACAAAAACUAGGGCCUGUCCUGGGGCGAGGCUGACUCCAGCUCCCAACCUCCCCAGGGACCCGCCCAGGGAGAGCAUCCUGUGCUGGGAGCGCCGCGCCAGACAGAGCUGCUGAGCUUCUCCAGGACCAUGUUUAGUGUGCGCAGGCCCUGUUCUGGGGUGACUGAUAAGCACCUCCCUUUGGAGAACUCAACCCUGGUUUCCUGGCGACAGGAUUGUUGUGCACCAUCCGGGCAGAAGUGGCUGGCUUCAAGUAAGGCGAGGCAGGGCCCCCUUGGGUUUGUAUGGAACGUGUUAUUGUGGAGGAGGGCAGCCAGGGCAUGCUGAUCCUAAGAACAACGUCUCAGAACCAUAAGAUGUACGGCACCUAGAAUUCUCCGUCUUUUACAUGUCAGGGUCCAGGGUGUUUGUGAUCCUGGAACUUGAGGCUUUUGGAUCUACCUUCAAGAUAACACAUGUGGUUCAUCGUGGCACUUGGAAAUCGGACAGCCUCAGCUGCCAGACUUCUUUGCACAUCAUCCCCUCACUGCCCCUCACACAUCAUUCCCCACCUGCCCCCGCAUCCAAGGCCUUGUCCCUCAGUCUAUGUCCAGGGUCAACCAGAGAUGGGUCUGGUCCAGAUAGGCCCCUCAGUAGCCUGUGGCAGUGCUCACCCCCACCUCCAAGGGGAGCCAGAGCAGAGCAACCAGACAAGUGCUCUGGACGUGCCCCGGCACUCCCAGAGAGGAGCUCAAGUCCUUCCAGAGCCUUUGGAAUGUUUCUCCACUCCCAGUAACUCCAUGUCUCCCAAACAGAGCUUGGGGCACAAGAGGGUGAGGGUCGUUAGCAGCUACCAAACAGCUGAAGCAGCUGAGGACCCAGCGAAAGCCUACGGAACUCUGUGGUCAGGCAGAGAGCGCUGGAGGGCCCCGAGGAGAUGGCCUGGGGUUCAGGGAAAGGGGAGGCUUCCAGGUGCUGCUGGCCGUUAAGUCCUGGAAUCAACUCCCUCCCUCAGAGACCGCAUGGAUCCUAUAGACCACUGAUCCGGUCUACACAGCCUGCGUAGGUCCUCACAAGAGGCAGGCAGCAGAACUAAUGCCUCGUGUUAGAGAUGAGCAGAUGGAGGACAGAGAAGCUGAGAGUCUCACCAAGAUCAAGUGGUGACUUGGAGGCAAAGACAGAGGCCGACUUGGUCUCCUGACUCCUAGUGCAGUCGUGGAGUCCAACACUGCAGCUCAGACGACCUCCUGAGGUCACUGCGUCCACGAGGAGCAGGUCCCCAGAGCUGAUCUGGGCACUGGCCCUGAUGCUGUCACCCUCCCGGACACCCGUGGAUUGGGAGUUUGGUGGACAGCAGGCUCUACAGGAGGGGAUGCAUGAGGAACCUUCAGGAACACUCACCAUUUAGGUCCCAUUCAGUGGGUGUUUAGCGUCCAGAAUGAGGAGGUUGGAGCCUGGCUCUACCCCACGCAGUCAGAUCCUGCAGUGUGUUCAGUUGAGAGCAAGUAGGUGAGGACCCUCAGGGGCUGCCUGAGGAAGGGCUGGAGGAACUGGGUGUGACAACUGGAGAAGAGAAGGCUCUGAUGGUGAUGUGCUCAUCGUCCACAAAUGCUGAAUCCAUCCAGGAGGGGUUGGGGUCUUCUUUUGUGGCCCCAGGGUGGAGUUAGGGCUGAGGAGGGGAGCCUCAGGAGGAACACUCAGUGCCUGGGUGGACAGGGAUGGAGAGGACAGCACUGGGUAACAGUGGCUUUGGUCCUCGGUCCCUUGCCUUGAUUGGCAGCAUCUGGUCCCCAAGGGAAGUUAUGAGAUGGACACCCCGGCCUUUCUCCACCUGGCAGCCCUCACCCUGGAGAAGUCAGGUUCUCAGAAUGUAGAGCCUACCUGAGCUUGGGACCUUGCAGCAGCACUGAGGCCAAAGGGACCCAGGGAAAGCCCCCUUAGGAGAGAUAUCCUGUGGAUCUGCCCUGCGUGCCUAUUGGUCAACUUGCUUUCUGAGGGCACGCAGAGGAGGGGCAGACAGACUGCCAGGCCCCAUGCCGGGCCACACUACACUCCCAUGAGGGAGCUGGGACCCUCCGGCUUGUGAGCUGCCAGUGGAAAAAUUGAUUUGAAAUAACUCAGAUGACCUUUUCCUUUAGUAAGAAAUGAAAGAAUGCAUAUUAUUUUUAAAGUAACCUUUAUCAUUUUUCCAACUAUGGACGUAAUAUAAACCUGAUAUAUAAAUAUUUGUUUAUUUAUUUAAUGGAGGGACUGUGGAUUGAACCCAGGACCUUGUGCAUCCUAAGCACAUAUUCUACCACUGAGCUAUACCCUUCUCCCUUAUAAAUUUUUGAAAAUAUAGAAAAGCACAGAGAACCUUCCCUCAAGCUCCUGCCCCAUGCUCAGUCCCGCCUCCAUCUUCUGAAAAAUGAAAUGGUCUCAUGACAUGCGUACCUGCCCCUCGGAGGGCAGGGGAUAGUCCCAGCUUAUAUGCUUCAGAAAUCGUGCCUGAAGGGACAUCAGCAUGACUUACUCUUCCUGCCACUGGUUUACGUGGUUGAUGGUUGUCAUGUUUCUCUACGGCCGUGUCAUUCAUAUAAGUACAUAUGCUUUUUAACAUUGGGAUCAUAUCAUUGCUUUGCUGCUUAAUGUUUCAUAGUUCUUUUCCCGUUGCACAGACAUGCUUCAAUAAUACCAUUUUGAAGGGCCGUGUCGUCACAUAGCUGUACUAUAAUAUAUUAAUUAUUUACCUAUUUUGGAACACCUGGACUUCCGUUUUUUGCUAUUGCACAUUCCCUUUCUUGACCAUCUUUGUCUGUAAUUUUUGUUUGAAUUUCUAAUUAUUUCCUCAGAGAAAACGCCCAGGUAUUUAAGUGUCCUAGUUAAAUAGCUUUGAUACGUUCUGUGAUAGUGUUCCUAGAAGGGACACCCCUGGCUUAUUUACAGGCUGCCACCAGCGCAGGUCUAAGAGGGCCGGUGCCGUGAGUCUGUACCAGCUUAUGGCAAUACCAGUAAAGCAAAUCCUAUAAUCCAAAAGGCAAAUAAUGGUAUUUCAGAAUCAUAACUUAUGUGAUUAUCAACAAAACAAAAACGUUCAUAAUUAUUAAGCCAUUUUAAAAUUUGGAAGGGUCAAUCACCUGCUUCCUUUGCCUGUUUUUCUAACAAGGUUUUGAUGAAUUUAUGCAAAAAUCAUUUAAUGAGCUCUCUAUCCAUUGCCCUUGUAACAUUUGUGGCAUAUGUGUUUGAGUGUGUUGAUUACUUUUAUGUUUGUUUUUGAUGGUUUUUAUAGCA